UUGGGUAAGUCGGGGCCUAAGGCGAGGACGAGAGUCGUAGCCGAUGGACAACAGGUGGAGAUUCCUGUACUGCGGUAUGACAGAACUGUGGGGACACGUAAGGAAAGCGGAAGCCGGGAAUGGAAAGCCCGGUGCAAGCGGGGUACCAGUCACUCAGGCAAAUCCGGGUGGCAAUGGGAAGCCGUGAUGCGGAGCGAAAUACAAGUAGCGAAGUCCGUGAGCCAUGCGUCAAGAAAAGCCGCUAUUGUUUAUACCGUACCCGUACCGUAAACCGACACAGGUGGAUGAGGAGAGAAUCCUAAGGCCGGCGGAAGAAGCAUUGUCAAGGAACUCGGCAAAAUGACCCCGUAACUUCGGGAGAAGGGGUGCCACUGAGAAGUGGCCGCAGAGAAUAGGCUCAAGCAACUGUUUAGCAAAAACACAGGUCUAUGCGAAACCGAAAGGUGAGGUAUAUGGGCUGACGCCUGCCCGGUGCUGGAAGGUUAAGAGGAGAGGUUAGCGCAAGCGAAGCUUUGAAUUUAAGCCCCAGUAAACGGCGGCCGUAACGAUAACGGUCCUAAGGUAGCGAAAUUCCUUGUCGGGUAAGUUCCGACCCGCACGAAAGGCGUAAUGAUUUGAGCGCUGUCUCGACAAUGCAUCCGGUGAAAUUGAAGUACCAGUGAAGAUGCUGGUUACCUGCGCCAGGACGGAAAGACCCCAUGGAGCUUUACUCCAGUCUGGUACUGGGGUCCGGUAUUGCAUGUACAGGAUAGGUGGGAGGCUAGGAAGCAGCAACGCCAGUUGCUGCGGAGCCGCUGUUGGGAUACCACCCUUGCAGUACUGGGCUUCUAACCAGCCGCCGUGAACCGGCGGUGGGACAAUGCCAGACGGGGAGUUUGACUGGGGCGGUCGCCUCCGAAAGGGUAUCGGAGGCGCCCAAAGGUUCCCUCAGAAUGGACGGAAACCAUUCGAAGAGUGCAAAGGCAGAAGGGAGCUUGACUGCGACACCGACGGGUGGAGCAGGUACGAAAGUAGGGCUUAGUGAUCCGGUGGUAUUAAGUGGGAAUGCCAUCGCUCAACGGAUAAAAGCUACCCUGGGAUAACAGGCUUAUCACUCCCAAGAGUUCACAUCGACGGAGUGGUUUGGCACCUCGAUGUCGGCUCAUCGCAUCCUGGGGCUGUAGUAGGUCCCAAGGGUUGGGCUGUUCGCCCAUUAAAGCGGUACGCGAGCUGGGUUCAGAACGUCGUGAGACAGUUCGGUCCCUAUCCGGCGUGGGCGUAGGAUAUCUGAGAGGAGCUGUCCUUAGUACGAGAGGACCGGGAUGGACGGACCGCUGGUGUACCGGUUAGACUGCCAAGUCUACGGCCGGGUAGCCAAGUCCGGAAGGGAUAAACGCUGAAGGCAUCUAAGCGUGAAGCCCCCCUCAAGAUGAGAUGUCCCAUUCGAAAGAAGUAAACCCCCUUGAAGACGACGAGGUAGAUAGGGCAGGGGUGGAAGUGCAGUAAUGCACGGAGCUGUCUGUUACUAAUAGGGUGAGGGCUUGACCU
RNAcentral lists this ribosomal RNA (1527 nucleotides) under metagenome. RNAcentral describes it as "bacterial LSU rRNA". It matches the Rfam family "Bacterial large subunit ribosomal RNA", at positions 1375 to 2925 of the family's 2925-position model. The record is from RNAcentral.